Molecule: ribosomal RNA, 2012 nt
Filed under: Pericharax heteroraphis
Lineage: Eukaryota; Metazoa; Porifera; Calcarea; Clathrinida; Leucettidae
Description: eukaryotic LSU rRNA
Rfam family: Eukaryotic large subunit ribosomal RNA
Source: RNAcentral
CAAGGAUUUCCUAGUAACGGCGAGUGAAGCGGGAACACCUCAACUUUAAAAUCUGCGAUGCUUGCAUCGUCAGAAUUGUAGUUAAGAGAAGUGUCUUCCCUGGGAUGCCUGUCAGCCUAAGUUGCUUGGAACAGCACGUCAUAGAGGGUGAGAACCCCGUCUGUGGCUUGGUGGGCGCCUGGUAUGAUGCACUUUCGACGAGUCGGGUUGUUUGGGAAUGCAGCCCUAACUGGGUGGUAAACUCCAUCUAAAGCUAAAUAUUGCCACGAGACCGAUAGCGAACAAGUACCGUGAGGGAAAGAUGAAAAGCACUUUGAAAAGAGAGUUAAAAGCACGUGAAGCCGUUGAAAGGGAAACGCGCUCGGCUAGCAAUGUGCCACGACGGUUCAGCCGUUUUGGGCGGCGAGGUGGCUGCUGUCGGAUCCGAAUGGACCGCUGUAGUCGUCGUCGCUGUCCGAGACGCGGUGCACUCUUUCGUGGUACGCGUCAGCGUCGGUUCGCAGCGGGCGAAAAGGCCUUGUGGAAGGUAGCUCGGGGCUUGCUCUGAGUGUUAUAGACACAGGUGCUGGGUCUGCUGCGGACCGAGGAGAGAGAGUAUCGUUGCAGCGCAUGCCGCAAGGCUAGCUACCCGUCGUCUGGCUCGCUUCACGGACCGAGGACUGCACGCAGUGCUUGGACUGGCGGAGUGGCCAGGCGGUGGAGUGGUAUAAAUGCGCUCAGGACGCUGGCGUCCAAAUGGCCGUGCGCGACCCGUCUUGAAACACGGACCAAGGAGUCUAACAUGUGCGCGAGUCUUUGGGUGGCGAAACCCGUGGGCGCAAUGAAAGUGAAGGCCUCUCACGAGGCUGAGGUGAGAGCUGGUGCUGCGGUGUCAGUGCAUCAUCGACCGGUCUAGUCUUCUCCAAGACGGAUCCGAGUAAGAGCGUAUUUGUUGGGACCCGAAAGAUGGUGAACUAUGCCUGAAUAGGGUGAAGCCAGAGGAAACUCUGGUGGAGGCUCGUAGCGAUUCUGACGUGCAAAUCGAUCGUCAAAUUUGGGUAUAGGGGCGAAAGACUAAUCGAACCAUCUAGUAGCUGGUUCCCUCCGAAGUUUCCCUCAGGAUAGCUGGAACUCGUGACACAGUUUUAUCAGGUAAAGCGAAUGAUUAGAGGUCUUGGGGGUGAAACACCCUCAACCUAUUCUCAAACUUUAAAUAGGUAAGAAGCGUGACUUGCUUGAUUGAAGCCACGCGUUUCAAUGUGAGUUCCAAGUGGGCCAUUUUUGGUAAGCAGAACUGGCGAUGCGGGAUGAACCGAACGCUCGGUUAAGGUGCCUAAGUCGACGCUCAUCAGACCCCAGAAAAGGUGUUGGUUGAUAUAGACAGCAGGACGGUGGCCAUGGAAGUCGGAAUCCGCUAAGGAGUGUGUAACAACUCACCUGCCGAAUCAACUAGCCCUGAAAAUGGAUGGCGCUAAAGCGUCGCACCUAUACCGGGCCGUUGCUGUAAAUGCCAUGCGGCAACGAGUAGGAGGGCGCGGGGGUCGUGACGCAGCCUUUGGCGUGAGCCUGGGUCAAACGGCCUCUGGUGCAGAUCUUGGUGGUAGUAGCAAAUAUUCAAAUGAGAGCUUUGAAGACCGAAGUGGAGAAAGGUUCCAUGUGAACAGCAGUUGGACAUGGGUUAGUCGACCCUAAGAGAUAGGGAAGCUCCGUUCUGAAGUGUGCGACUUCGCACCGCCUAUCGAAAGGGAAUCGGGUUAAUAUUCCCGAACCAGAACGCGGAUAUUGGCUUUCGGGCCAGGAGCGGCAACGCAACCGAACUGGGAGACGUUGGCGGGAGCUCCGGGAAGAGUUUUCUUUUCUUUUUAACGGGCCAUCACCCUGGAAUCGGUUUGCCCGGAGAUAGGGUUCGCUGGCUCGGUAAAGCAAAACACUUCUUGUUUUGUCCGGUGCGCUCUCGACGGCCCUUGAAAAUCCCAGGGAGUGAGUAAUUUUCGUGUCUGGUCGUACUCAUAACCGCAUCAGGUCUCCAAGGU